AACGCGAAGAACCUUACCUGGGCUCGAAAUGUAGUGGAAUCCGGCAGAAACGUCGGCGUCUAGCAAUAGACCGCUAUAUAGGUGCUGCAUGGCUGUCGUCAGCUCGUGUCGUGAGAUGUUGGGUUAAGUCCCGCAACGAGCGCAACCCUUAUCUUCAGUUGCUACCAUUUAGUUGAGCACUCUAGAGAAACCGCCGGUGACAAGCCGGAGGAAGGCGGGGAUGACGUCAAGUCCUCAUGGCCCUUACAGGUUGGGCUACACACGUACUACAAUGGUGGUGACAGUGGGUUGCGAAGUCGCAAGAUGGAGCCAAUCCCCAAAAACCAUCUCAGUUCAGAUUGUACCCUGCAACUCGGGUGCAUGAAGUUGGAAUCGCUAGUAAUCGCAGAUCAGCACGCUGCGGUGAAUACGUUCCCGGGCCUUGUACACACCGCUCGCGA
This 440-nucleotide ribosomal RNA is filed under the name uncultured bacterium. RNAcentral's name for it is "bacterial SSU rRNA". It matches the Rfam family "Bacterial small subunit ribosomal RNA", at positions 958 to 1399 of the family's 1533-position model. The record is from RNAcentral.